This 497-nucleotide ribosomal RNA is filed under the name uncultured bacterium. RNAcentral describes it as "partial 16S ribosomal RNA". It matches the Rfam family "Bacterial small subunit ribosomal RNA", at positions 28 to 507 of the family's 1533-position model. The record is from RNAcentral.
GAUGAACGCUGGCGGCGUGCCUAAUACAUGCAAGUCGAGCGAACGGACGAGAAGCUUGCUUCUCUGAUGUUAGCGGCGGACGGGUGAGUAACACGUGGAUAACCUACCUAUAAGACUGGGAUAACUUCGGGAAACCGGAGCUAAUACCGGAUAAUAUUUUGAACCGCAUGGUUCAAAAGUGAAAGCCGGUCUUGCUGUCACUUCUAGCUGGAUCCGCGCUGCAUUAGCUAGUUGGUAAGGUAACGGCUUACCAAGGCAACGAUGCAUAGCCGACCUGAGAGGGUGAUCGCCCACACUGGAACUGAGACACGGUCCAGACUCCUACGGGAGGCAGCAGUAGGGAAUCUUCCGCAAUGGGCGAAAGCCUGACGGAGCAACGCCGCGUGAGUGAUGAAGGUCUUCGGAUCGUAAAACUCUGUUAUUAGGGAAGAACAUAUGUGUAAGUAACUGUGCACAUCUUGACGGUACCUAAUCAGAAAGCCACGGCUAACUACGUG